Molecule: ribosomal RNA, 972 nt
Filed under: Salmonella enterica
Lineage: Bacteria; Pseudomonadati; Pseudomonadota; Gammaproteobacteria; Enterobacterales; Enterobacteriaceae
Also listed under: 1 other name
Description: partial 23S ribosomal RNA
Rfam family: Bacterial large subunit ribosomal RNA
Source: RNAcentral
CUCAGGUGUUGUUGGGUAGGGGAGCGUUCUGUAAGCCUGCGAAGGUGGCCUGUGAGGGUUGCUGGAGGUAUCAGAAGUGCGAAUGCUGACAUAAGUAACGAUAAAGCGGGUGAAAAGCCCGCUCGCCGGAAGACCAAGGGUUCCUGUCCAACGUUAAUCGGGGCAGGGUGAGUCGACCCCUAAGGCGAGGCCGAAAGGCGUAGUCGAUGGGAAACGGGUUAAUAUUCCCGUACUUGGUGUUACUGCGAAGGGGGGACGGAGAAGGCUAUGUUGGCCGGGCGACGGUUGUCCCGGUUUAAGCGUGUAGGUGUGUGUUCCAGGUAAAUCCGGUUCACUUUAACACUGAGGCGUGACGACGAGGCACUACGGUGCUGAAGCAACAAAUGCCCUGCUUCCAGGAAAAGCCUCUAAGCAUCAGGUAACAUCAAAUCGUACCCCAAACCGACACAGGUGGUCAGGUAGAGAAUACCAAGGCGCUUGAGAGAACUCGGGUGAAGGAACUAGGCAAAAUGGUGCCGUAACUUCGGGAGAAGGCACGCUGACAUGUAGGUGAAGUGAUUUACUCAUGGAGCUGAAGUCAGUCGAAGAUACCAGCUGGCUGCAACUGUUUAUUAAAAACACAGCACUGUGCAAACACGAAAGUGGACGUAUACGGUGUGACGCCUGCCCGGUGCCGGAAGGUUAAUUGAUGGGGUCAGCGCAAGCGAAGCUCCUGAUCGAAGCCCCGGUAAACGGCGGCCGUAACUAUAACGGUCCUAAGGUAGCGAAAUUCCUUGUCGGGUAAGUUCCGACCUGCACGAAUGGCGUAAUGAUGGCCAGGCUGUCUCCACCCGAGACUCAGUGAAAUUGAACUCGCUGUGAAGAUGCAGUGUACCCGCGGCAAGACGGAAAGACCCCGUGAACCUUUACUAUAGCUUGACACUGAACAUUGAGCCUUGAUGUGUAGGAUAGGUGGGAGGCUUUGAAGUGUGG